UAAUAAUCAAAGAUGAUCGUGGAUAUCCAAUAUCCCAAGUACGAAUGUCUAAAAAUAGAAGGUUUGCUUUAAACAUUCCUUAUGACUCACCAAAUGUUUAAGUGCCAUUAUAGAUGAUAAGAAUUGGUUGUGGCACUUGAGACUUGGACAUUUAAAUUUUGAAGGAUUAAGAUUGCUAUCAAAGAAAAAGAUGUUGAAAUGGUUGCCAAAUAUUGAUCAUCCAAAUGAAGUUUGUGAAAGUUGUGUUCUUGGCAAGCAUGCAAGAACAAAUUUUGCAAGGGAGACAAGUUGGAGAGCAAAGAAGCCACUGGAGUUGGUCCAUACAGAUAUAUGUGGUCCGUUGAAGCCAAUAUCAAAUGGACAAAACAGGUACUUUUUUACAUUUAUUGAUGACUAUUGUAGAAAGACAUGGGUAUAAUUUCUCAAGAAAAAGUCAGAGGCGUUGAAUGCAUUUAAAGAAUUUAAGUCCAGUGUUGAAAAACAAAGUGGCUAUCACAUAAAGAUAUUGCGGUCAGAUUAGGGAGGAGAAUAUACUUCUGAUGCGUUUAAAAGCUUUUGUAAUUUGAAUGGCAUUAGAUAACAGUUCACACCAGCUUACACUCCCCAAUUGAAUGGCGUAGUUGAACGAAAGAACCGCACAAUUCUCGAUAUGGCGAGAAGUAUGUUAAAAGAUAAGAAAUUACCUAAAGGAUUUUGGGCUGAAGCAAUUUCAACUGCAAUAUAUUUAUUGAAUCGGUGUCCUACCAAGAAUGUUCGUGGAGUAACACCUGAAGAGGCUCAUAUAAGCCUAGUGCAAAUCACCUUCGAGUAUUUGGAUGUAUAGCUUGUGUAAAGAUCCCAGAAGCAAGAAGAGCUAAACUUGAUGACAAAGGGCAGAAAUGUAUAUUUAUUGGCUAUGGUGAUAGGAUAAUGGGAUACAAGUUAUACAAUCCCAUUACAAAAGAUAUUAUCAUGAGUCGAGACGUAAUCUUUGAAGAAGAUAAAGCUUGGAAUUGGGAGAAUGCUAAAGACUUUGAGCAAGUUCGUUUAAUUCUUGAGCAAG
RNAcentral lists this long non-coding RNA (1042 nucleotides) under Olea europaea subsp. europaea. The record is from RNAcentral. Lineage: Eukaryota; Viridiplantae; Streptophyta; Magnoliopsida; Lamiales; Oleaceae.